UUUAUCUUCAAAAGGGGGUAAGUUUCCGAAUUUCGAUCACAAACAAUUGUUCAUCAAUGGAUUCUUUCUCCCAAAAACCUAAACCCAGAAACUCUCACUACCCAGAAGUAAUCGAUUCCAACCUCGAAGCCAAUUCGUCCUUCCAAAAACCUAAUCAUCAACAGCAGAGUUCUCUCUACCCUUCCCUUGACGUUGAUGACCUCAGCGACCUUGUCCAAACCCUAUUUCCCCGAAAUGACACCAGAAGCAGCGAUGGUAGUGUUCAUUCGCCGUCUGCUCCACCGGCCGCUACCGAGGAGGUCCUCAUCAGGAUCCCCGGCGCCAUCCUCAACCUCGUCGACACCCACUACAGCGUCGAGCUCGCUUCCGGCGACUUCUCCAUCAUCCGCCUCCGGCAGGGUGACAGCGCCGUCGCCGUUUACGCCUGCGUUGCCGACAAGAUCCAAUGGCCCCUCGCCAAGGACGAAACUGCCGUCAAGGUCGACGACUCUCACUACUUUUUCUCCUUCCGACCUCCCAUGGGCUCCGAAUCCAAUUCCGAUUCCGACGAAGAAGAUCAGCGUAGCCGCGGGUAAGAUAAGAACGGUUCCGAUCUGCUAAGCUAUGGGUUGACGAUUGCGUCAAAGGGGCAAUAGGGUUCCACUUCCCCAUUCUUCUGCUACUCUCUCUUCAUCUUUCUCUCUUUCCACCUCUCACUCUUCACUCUUCAAACCCAGGGUGAGUUUACAGCUGGGAAAGUUGCCUAGUUUCCGUUUGGUGCAAAAUGGUGUCACACCAAGGGCGUAUUAUGUCUUCACUCUCAGCAGCUGAAACUUCUCAGAAGAGUGAAAGUUCAAAAGCUUAUGGUUCUGAUCAAAUUCAGGUACUUGAAGGCUUGGAUCCUGUUAAGAAAAGACCUGGAAUGUAUAUUGGAAGCAUUGGCCCGCGUGGGUUGCAUCAUAGUUUUGUGGUGUAUUUUAUCUGAUUGAACCAGAGUGCAUCUUAGGUUUAUGAAAUUUUGGAUAAUACUGAUUUUGCUGUACAUAGUAUACUGAUUUUGCUUUCUAUAUUAAUCAAGAACUAUGCUAUGAUAUUGUGCAUAUGGAAUUACUAAAAUUUGCA
Molecule: non-coding RNA, 1101 nt
Organism: Arachis ipaensis
Lineage: Eukaryota; Viridiplantae; Streptophyta; Magnoliopsida; Fabales; Fabaceae
Source: RefSeq, a predicted model, not a curated record